This 669-nucleotide ribosomal RNA is filed under the name Bacteroides sp. CannelCatfish8. RNAcentral's name for it is "bacterial SSU rRNA". It matches the Rfam family "Bacterial small subunit ribosomal RNA", at positions 11 to 678 of the family's 1533-position model. Lineage: Bacteria; Pseudomonadati; Bacteroidota; Bacteroidia; Bacteroidales; Bacteroidaceae. The record is from RNAcentral.
GUUUGAUCCUGGCUCAGGAUGAACGCUAGCUACAGGCUUAACACAUGCAAGUCGAGGGGUAGCAGGGUAGCAAUACCGCUGACGACCGGCGCACGGGUGAGUAACACGUAUCCAACCUACCAUUCACACGGGGAUAGCCUUUCGAAAGAAAGAUUAAUACCCGAUAGUAUAACGAUAAGGCAUCUUAUUGUUAUUAAAGAAUUUCGGUGUUUGAUGGGGAUGCGUUCCAUUAGAUUGUUGGUGAGGUAACGGCUCACCAAGUCUUCGAUGGAUAGGGGUUCUGAGAGGAAGGUUCCCCACAUUGGAACUGAGACACGGUCCAAACUCCUACGGGAGGCAGCAGUGAGGAAUAUUGGUCAAUGGACGAAAGUCUGAACCAGCCAAGUAGCGUGAAGGAUGAAGGCCCUAUGGGUCGUAAACUUCUUUUAUAGGGGAAUAAAGUGCGGAACGUGUUCCGCUUUGUAUGUACCCUACGAAUAAGGAUCGGCUAACUCCGUGCCAGCAGCCGCGGUAAUACGGAGGAUCCGAGCGUUAUCCGGAUUUAUUGGGUUUAAAGGGAGCGUAGGUGGAUAUAUAAGUCAGUUGUGAAAGUUUGCGGCUCAACCGUAAAAUUGCAGUUGAUACUGUAUAUCUUGAGUGUACAAGAGGUAGGCGGAAUUCGUGGUGUCG